UGUAAUUACAAAAAGAUGUAAUUUUAAACUUCUUUCGAUGUAAUAUUAGUCUAUUUUCCAAAAUUGAAUAGAAAUAAACUGUUUUGAUUUAAUUUUACACUGCAUCAUGCAAAAAUCAACCGGUCAACGAAAUUUAUAUCACAAACAGUGUAAAAUUAUAUCUGUUUGAUUUAAAAUUGAAUGCAAAUAUUUAAAUUGUGCCUUUUUAUAUUUCAAGUUAGUUUGCGCGUCGGGCACUAAGUAAACAAGUCGAAAAAUUAUUCGAGAACGAGUCAUUCAAAGGCGUAGCUACAGGAGCACUUUAAGAGUCUUUAAAGUACAAGGUCAGAUUUUUCGCAGCGGCUGAUAUCCGGCCAGUGAUUAUCCGGAGAAACUUUUGUCAGAACAAUUCGAGUGUGCAGGAUGCUGACCGAAAAAUUAUGAUUUCCGGAACCAUUCGAGGAUGCUGAUCAUGCUGAUUCGAAAAACAUCCCCGUGCUGGGAAUCAUCGGAUGCAACAACAAUAUCAGCCUGACGCUUUCCGAAUGGUUUUUAUGUUCAGUUUUGUAAAUAAAUGUGAAUUAAAAAUGA
Molecule: long non-coding RNA, 570 nt
Organism: Uranotaenia lowii
Lineage: Eukaryota; Metazoa; Arthropoda; Insecta; Diptera; Culicidae
Exons: 2
Source: RefSeq, a predicted model, not a curated record